CCUACGGGAGGCAGCAGUGGGGAAUUUUGGACAAUGGGCGCAAGCCUGAUCCAGCAAUGCCGCGUGAGUGAAGAAGGCCUUCGGGUUGUAAAGCUCUUUUGUCAGGGAAGAAACGGUGGUUGCUAAUAUCGAUCACUAAUGACGGUACCUGAAGAAUAAGCACCGGCUAACUACGUGCCAGCAGCCGCGGUAAUACGUAGGGUGCAAGCGUUAAUCGGAAUUACUGGGCGUAAAGCGUGCGCAGGCGGUUUUGUAAGUCUGUCGUGAAAUCCCCGGGCUCAACCUGGGAAUGGCGAUGGAGACUGCAAGGCUAGAGUUUGGCAGAGGGGGGUAGAAUUCCACGUGUAGCAGUGAAAUGCGUAGAGAUGUGGAGGAACACCGAUGGCGAAGGCAGCCCCCUGGGUCAAAACUGACGCUCAUGCACGAAAGCGUGGGGAGCAAACAGGAUUAGAUACCCUGGUAGUCCACGCCCUAAACGAUGUCUACUAGUUGUCGGGUCUUAAUUGACUUGGUAACGCAGCUAACGCGUGAAGUAGACCGCCUGGGGAGUACGGUCGCAAGNUUAAAACUAGAAGUAGUAGCGNGNGAGNGNGACGACGACGACGACGGAGGAGGAGG
This 618-nucleotide ribosomal RNA is filed under the name uncultured bacterium. RNAcentral's name for it is "bacterial SSU rRNA". It matches the Rfam family "Bacterial small subunit ribosomal RNA", at positions 338 to 944 of the family's 1533-position model. The record is from RNAcentral.